AUGUUGGUUAAACCCCUUCCUUUACCA
RNAcentral lists this transfer RNA (27 nucleotides) under Poyntonia paludicola (Kogelberg Reserve frog). RNAcentral describes it as "partial tRNA-Met". The record is from RNAcentral. Lineage: Eukaryota; Metazoa; Chordata; Amphibia; Anura; Pyxicephalidae.